AGAGGUUCUGACAUAUCUCAUGCCUGUCAAUCAACUCACUGAUUGUGUCCAGAAGUCCAUUGUCCUGAGCUCAAACCACAUUCUAAGUCACAUGCCAAACAGUCCCUCUUUUCUGUUGAACACAAGAAAGUCAUUUCAGUCUCCUGUGGUCCAGCUUCAAAUCUAGAGCUUUUUUCCUGUAUGAACCUGAGUGAAAUAUGC
Molecule: non-coding RNA, 201 nt
Organism: Pelobates cultripes (western spadefoot toad)
Lineage: Eukaryota; Metazoa; Chordata; Amphibia; Anura; Pelobatidae
Source: the annotation of a GenBank genome assembly